RNAcentral lists this long non-coding RNA (1943 nucleotides) under Setaria viridis. Its description in RNAcentral is "long non-coding RNA (SVIR_LNC001317)". The record is from RNAcentral. Lineage: Eukaryota; Viridiplantae; Streptophyta; Magnoliopsida; Poales; Poaceae.
ACCAUCCUUACCAACCUUUGUAUGAUACGGAUUAAAUAUUUUUUAGAAAAAAAAUUGACCUUGUGAUACAUACAAGAGAAUUUGAACAGUUUUAUGCUUAGAUGCAAAUGAGCUAUUCUGUAUAGUAGCGCUGAUAUGUUUAAUUCUAUCUUGGGUCAGGAGAUCCUCGAGUUCGUCAACAGGUACACGGACCUCCCAAACAUGGAGGAUUGGAAGAUGGAGCUGUUAUUGACUACCUUAGGGAACAUGAAGGACAACCGCGAAACCUUCCAGGACCGUGACGACUACAGUGAGAACGUCAAUCAGGGUUUUCAGAGAUGGCUCUCCUUAGCUGGUGCCCAAUAUGAAGCUGCCAUUGCUGCUGCUGGUGGUGGUGAUGAUGAUGCCGGUGGUGAUGCUGCGCAAGUGCAGCAGAAGCCAUUGCCGGCUCCAUAUCUCAAGUCUGAACUCUAAACUCUGGACUGUUCAGGUGCAUUUCCACUGCUUGAACGACAAAAUGUUUACCCGUGUAUGGACAAUUAAUUAUUCAUCUGUUAAAUCUAAUAAUUGUGUAAUGUACUGCCACCUUAAUACUAUCAUUAUUUAUACUUUACCUUAUCAUCUCUCCACUUUCUAUAACUAUGAUGUCUAGACAUAAAUCAUACUCCCUCCAUUUCAAAUUAUAAGUCAUUCCAAGAAUCUUGGAGAGUCAAAGCAUUUCAAGUUUGACCAAAAUUAUAGAAAAAAUUAUAAAAAUUUAUGACAUCAAAUAGGUAUACUAUGAAAAUAUAAUUGAUGAAGAAUCUAAUGAUACUUAGUUGACAUCAUAAAUGUUAUUAUAUUAUCAUACAAAUUUGGUCAACCUAGAGAUACUUUGACUCUCCAAGAUUCUUGGAAUGACUUAUAAUUUGGGACGGAGGGAGUAUCUGGGACCACCAUAAUGUUCGGCUCUACCGUAUCAUCCACUUUUCUUUCUAACCCCAGCUGAGUGACUUUUGUUUAGGCUACAAUAUAAUGUUCCAUCAAUUGCGCAUUUCUGCCCUCCACUCUCGCCUUCCUAAAUCCACAGCCUCGAGCCACAUGUUUUCAAGCCUUGUGCAACAACUAAACUGUGCGCGUCGGCGUGACGCUGCCGUCAUGUGAGGCUUGUAGAGUGGGCUACUCGAACGUGAAUUGGCUGGUGAGAUCCAUACACAUUGAGCCGACGUGCAGUGAGGAUUGGGUGGCCGCAGAGGUGUUCAAUACCGUUGGCAUGGCUUGCAUACAUGUCGAGCUAAGAUUGCCACGUAGGAGGUGUUCGAUACUAUAUAUGGGCUGAAUAAUUCAUAUUUCAAAACAUGUGUGUUGUAUUUUAGUUGAACCUUCAAUGCAGUGUUUAAACGCUAUAGUUACUGGUCGGACAAAACACGACUUUGAAAAGGAAAAAAGUAUAUGUUUUUUCGCUUAUUCAUCUUCAUUCUUGAUCUAACAGCCUAGUUCUUCUCCAACUAAACCCUAUCUUCCUGGCCACCUUCUUCACUCCCGACUAUGAACUAGCGCUGAUGCUGCUCGCCAAAUCCGAUGCCAGCAGGCUCCUAGUUCAGUCAAUACCUUUCUCCCCAGAUCUAUCAUGUGUACAACUCAGAGACAGAGACAAAAAUCUACAGUAACACUGACAAAUCUUAGGAUAAUAGCGCUGAUAUGUUUAAUUCUAUCUUGGGUCAGGAGAUCCUCGAGUUCGUCAACAGGUACACGGACCUCCCAAACAUGGAGGAUUGGAAGAUGGAGCUGUUAUUGACUACCUUAGGGAACAUGAAGGACAACCGCGAAACCUUCCAGGACCGUGACGACUACAGUGAGAACGUCAAUCAGGGUUUUCAGAGAUGGCUCUCCUUAGCUGGUGCCCAAUAUGAAGCUGCCAUUGCUGCUGCUGGUGGUGGUGGUGAUGACGCCGGUGGUGAUGCUGCGCAAGUGCAGCAGAAGCC